AUAACACUGUGACCUAAAUCCAACGAGGUUGUCAAACUAAAAGAUUUUCGGCCAAUAAGCUUGAUACACUCAGUGGGAAAGAUCGCCAGAAAAUAGCUCUCCAUCCGCCUGGCUCCAUUCCUGCCACUACUAAUUCCCUCCUCUCAAAGCGCCUUCAUCAAGUCCAGAAGCAUCCAUGACAACUUCCUCUUCAUCAAAAACGCUACCCGUGGCCUCCACCAACGACCCAGCUCUACUGCUCAAGUUGGACAUUGCCAAAGCUUUUGA
This 267-nucleotide ribosomal RNA is filed under the name Triticum aestivum (bread wheat). RNAcentral's name for it is "partial small subunit ribosomal RNA". Lineage: Eukaryota; Viridiplantae; Streptophyta; Magnoliopsida; Poales; Poaceae. The record is from RNAcentral.